UGGGGAAUAUUGCACAAUGGGCGGAAGCCUGAUGCAGCGACGCCGCUUGGGGGAUGAAGGCCUUCGGGUUGUAAACUCCUUUCGACAGGGACGAAGCUUUUGUGACGGUACCUGUAUAAGAAGCACCGGCUAACUACGUGCCAGCAGCCGCGGUAAUACGUAGGGUGCGAGCGUUGUCCGGAAUUACUGGGCGUAAAGAGCUCGUAGGUGGUUUGUCGCGUCGUCUGUGAAAUUCCGGGGCUUAACUCCGGGCGUGCAGGCGAUACGGGCUGACUUAAGUGCUGUAGGGGAGACUGGAAUUCCUGGUGUAGCGGUGAAAUGCGCAGAUAUCAGGAGGAACACCGAUGGCGAAGGCAGGUCUCUGGGCAGUAACUGACGCUGAGGAGCGAAAGCAUGGGUAGCGAACAGG
This 409-nucleotide ribosomal RNA is filed under the name Actinomycetes bacterium. RNAcentral's name for it is "Actinobacteria bacterium partial 16S ribosomal RNA". It matches the Rfam family "Bacterial small subunit ribosomal RNA", at positions 355 to 776 of the family's 1533-position model. Lineage: Bacteria; Bacillati; Actinomycetota; Actinomycetes. The record is from RNAcentral.